Molecule: unclassified non-coding RNA, 236 nt
Filed under: Hevea brasiliensis (rubber tree)
Lineage: Eukaryota; Viridiplantae; Streptophyta; Magnoliopsida; Malpighiales; Euphorbiaceae
Source: RNAcentral
GGAAGCAAAGAUCAUGGGUUAUACCCGACCCGAAACUGCGUGAUGAAGUGAAAAUAUCACUGGCGAAUAAGAUCCUUUCGGCUUAUCAGCCAUUUUACCAGAAGCACGGUGAAAAGGUGGCGCGGAUGGAGAGUGGUGGCGGAGUGGAGUCAAUUGUCAGAUUUGCCCCUGACAAUGUGCAAAAUUACCUAUCCGAUUUAUUUCACGGUUCUACAGAAAACUCCAGUACGUCGUCG